RNAcentral lists this ribosomal RNA (384 nucleotides) under Haptolina sp. RNAcentral's name for it is "SSU rRNA". It matches the Rfam family "Eukaryotic small subunit ribosomal RNA", at positions 587 to 975 of the family's 1831-position model. The record is from RNAcentral. Lineage: Eukaryota; Haptophyta; Prymnesiales; Prymnesiaceae.
AGCUCCAAAAGCGUAUAUUAAAGUUGUUGCAGUUAAAACGCUCGUAGUCGGAUUUCGGGGCGGGCUUGCCGGUCUGCCGAUGGGUAUGCACUGGCAGGCGCGUCCUUCCUUCCGGAGACUGUCCCUACUCUUAACUGAGCGGGGUCGGGAGACGGAAAGUUUACUUUGAAAAAAUCAGAGUGUUUCAAGCAGGCAGCUCGCUCUUGCAUGGAUUAGCAUGGGAUAAUGAAAUAGGACUUUGGUGCUAUUUUGUUGGUUUCGAACACCGAAGUAAUGAUUAACAGGGACAGUCAGGGGCACUCGUAUUCCGCCGAGAGAGGUGAAAUUCUCAGACCAGCGGAAGACGAACCACUGCGAAAGCAUUUGCCAGGGAUGUUUUCACUG